ACAGGUGCUGCAUGGCUGUCGUCAGCUCGUGUCGUGAGAUGUUGGGUUAAGUCCCGCAACGAGCGCAACCCUUGCCUUUAGUUGCCAGCAGUUCGGCUGGGCACUCUAAAGGGACUGCCGGUGUUAAACCGGAGGAAGGUGGGGAUGACGUCAAGUCCUCAUGGCCUUUAUGACCAGGGCUACACACGUACUACAAUGGCCGAUACAAAGGGCAGCGACACUGCGAGGUGAAGCCAAUCCCGUAAAAUCGGUCUCAGUCCGGAUUGGAGUCUGCAACUCGACUCCAUGAAGUUGGAAUCGCUAGCAAUCGUGGAUCAGCAUGCCACGGUGAAUACGUUCCCGGGCCUU
Molecule: ribosomal RNA, 348 nt
Filed under: uncultured Desulfobulbus sp.
Lineage: Bacteria; Pseudomonadati; Thermodesulfobacteriota; Desulfobulbia; Desulfobulbales; Desulfobulbaceae
Description: bacterial SSU rRNA
Rfam family: Bacterial small subunit ribosomal RNA
Source: RNAcentral